This 449-nucleotide ribosomal RNA is filed under the name uncultured bacterium. RNAcentral describes it as "SSU rRNA". It matches the Rfam family "Bacterial small subunit ribosomal RNA", at positions 26 to 518 of the family's 1533-position model. The record is from RNAcentral.
AGAGCGAACGCUGGCGGCAGGCUUAACACAUGCAAGUCGAGCGGGCGUAGCAAUACGUCAGCGGCAGACGGGUGAGUAACGCGUGGGAACGUACCUUUUGGUUCGGAAACAACACAGGGAAACUUGUGCUAAUACCGGAUAAGCCCUUACGGGGAAAGAUUUAUCGCCAAAAGAUCGGCCCGCGUCUGAUUAGCUAGUUGGUGAGGUAACGGCUCACCAAGGCGACGAUCAGUAGCUGGUCUGAGAGGAUGAUCAGCCACAUUGGGACUGAGACACGGCCCAAACUCCUACGGGAGGCAGCAGUGGGGAAUAUUGGACAAUGGGCGCAAGCCUGAUCCAGCCAUGCCGCGUGAGUGAUGAAGGCCCUAGGGUUGUAAAGCUCUUUUGUGCGGGAAGAUAAUGACGGUACCGCAAGAAUAAGCCCCGGCUAACUUCGCGCCAGCAGCCGC